Molecule: transfer RNA, 65 nt
Filed under: Dipodomys ordii (Ord's kangaroo rat)
Lineage: Eukaryota; Metazoa; Chordata; Mammalia; Rodentia; Heteromyidae
Rfam family: tRNA
About the family: Transfer RNA (tRNA) molecules are approximately 80 nucleotides in length. Their secondary structure includes four short double-helical elements and three loops (D, anti-codon, and T loops).
Source: Rfam by way of RNAcentral
GGUGGCUCAGUGGUAGAGUGCCUGCCUUGCAUGUAUGAAGGCCUGGGUUCGAUUCCUCAGCACCA